Molecule: ribosomal RNA, 674 nt
Filed under: Escherichia coli
Lineage: Bacteria; Pseudomonadati; Pseudomonadota; Gammaproteobacteria; Enterobacterales; Enterobacteriaceae
Description: partial 23S ribosomal RNA
Rfam family: Bacterial large subunit ribosomal RNA
Source: RNAcentral
AUCAUUAACUGAAUCCAUAGGUUAAUGAGGCGAACCGGGGGAACUGAAACAUCUAAGUACCCCGAGGAAAAGAAAUCAACCGAGAUUCCCCCAGUAGCGGCGAGCGAACGGGGAGGAGCCCAGAGCCUGAAUCAGUGUGUGUGUUAGUGGAAGCGUCUGGAAAGGCGCGCGAUACAGGGUGACAGCCCCGUACACAAAAAUGCACAUGCUGUGAGCUCGAUGAGUAGGGCGGGACACGUGGUAUCCUGUCUGAAUAUGGGGGGACCAUCCUCCAAGGCUAAAUACUCCUGACUGACCGAUAGUGAACCAGUACCGUGAGGGAAAGGCGAAAAGAACCCCGGCGAGGGGAGUGAAAAAGAACCUGAAACCGUGUACGUACAAGCAGUGGGAGCACGCUUAGGCGUGUGACUGCGUACCUUUUGUAUAAUGGGUCAGCGACUUAUAUUCUGUAGCAAGGUUAACCGAAUAGGGGAGCCGAAGGGAAACCGAGUCUUAACUGGGCGUUAAGUUGCAGGGUAUAGACCCGAAACCCGGUGAUCUAGCCAUGGGCAGGUUGAAGGUUGGGUAACACUAACUGGAGGACCGAACCGACUAAUGUUGAAAAAUUAGCGGAUGACUUGUGGCUGGGGGUGAAAGGCCAAUCAAACCGGGAGAUAGCUGGUUCUCCCCGAAAG